CCUACGGGAGGCAGCAGUGAGGAAUAUUGGUCAAUGGACGAGAGUCUGAACCAGCCAUGUCGCGUGAAGGAUGACUGCCCUAUGGGUUGUAAACUGCUUUUAUGUGGGAAUAAAAUGUUACACGUGUGUGCUUUUGUAUGUACCGUAUGAAUAAGGAUCGGCUAACUCCGUGCCAGCAGCCGCGGUAAUACGGAGGAUCCGAGCGUUAUCCGGAUUUAUUGGGUUUAAAGGGAGCGUAGGUGGAUUGUUAAGUCAGUGGUGAAAUUUUGCGGCUUAACCGUAGAACUGCAGUUGAAACUGGCAGUCUUGAGUGUAGUAGCGGUAGGCGGAAUGUAUGGUGUAGCGGUGAAAUGCUUAGAUAUCACGCAGAACUCCGAUUGCGAAGGCAGCUCAC
Molecule: ribosomal RNA, 394 nt
Filed under: uncultured bacterium
Lineage: Bacteria
Description: partial 16S ribosomal RNA
Rfam family: Bacterial small subunit ribosomal RNA
Source: RNAcentral